Pelobates cultripes (western spadefoot toad) is the source of this 232-nucleotide non-coding RNA. NCBI's taxonomy places the organism in Eukaryota, Metazoa, Chordata, Amphibia, Anura, Pelobatidae. The record is from the annotation of a GenBank genome assembly.
AAGGAAUUCUAACAAUACAGUUAUGUCAUAUGUACAGACUCCUGCUCCCUUUAGGGAAGUAAGAAUGAUUUUAUCUGUAGCUAUUUCUACAAUUUCUGAAUUGACCGCUACUUCUGCAAAUCCAUCGACACGAUGGUAGCAGAUCUGCAAUCUAUACCUCAAGUCAGAUGAGUAACACAUUGAAUGUUAUUUUGUGAAAACAAUUGUGUUAUAACCAUUUACUCAAAUGAGG